UGGGGGUUCGUCUAAUGGCAGGACGACUGACUCUGGAUUAGUUAAUAUUGGUUCGACUCCAGUACCCCCAGCCA
RNAcentral lists this transfer RNA (74 nucleotides) under Chloroflexi bacterium HGW-Chloroflexi-6. RNAcentral's name for it is "tRNA-Gln". It matches the Rfam family "tRNA". From Rfam's summary of the family: Transfer RNA (tRNA) molecules are approximately 80 nucleotides in length. Their secondary structure includes four short double-helical elements and three loops (D, anti-codon, and T loops). The record is from RNAcentral. Lineage: Bacteria; Bacillati; Chloroflexota.